This is a long non-coding RNA of Phyllostomus discolor (pale spear-nosed bat), 137 nucleotides long. RefSeq lists it as uncharacterized. The record is from RefSeq and is a predicted model, not a curated record. The transcript has 3 exons. Lineage: Eukaryota; Metazoa; Chordata; Mammalia; Chiroptera; Phyllostomidae.
UCUCACCAGUGAUAUAGAGGGAGAAGCCGAAGUGUCUAGCAUCAGGGCAAGAGCUGGGGGAGAGCUUCCUUCCAGACAGAACUGCAGACAGCAGCCAUUGUACCUUUUCCAAGCCCUCCCCCGACAUAGGGCCACAG